GUAUUAUAAAACCCUUGACAAUAAAAUACGGGAUAGAAAAGCAGGAAACAAUUUCACUACCAAUCACUUACAUAAACCAACGAAGUUACAAACGAAUGCCUAUAGCCAAAAGUCAACAAAAGACCGGCUCUUAAAAAGGAAUUGUCCUAUGACCUACAAGUCGGACACGUUCUCCAAUCUUAUGCCUUCACCUCUGCAACUCCUCAAGGCCAACCAAAGCUAUCUGGCCACUCCGUCCAUCAGGGACCUGAAAUUUUAAUCCCACAACCGGGAUGAGACGAUGUCUCAGCAAGUUCAACCCCCUAAACCCCUAUUAGAAAGAAAAUACGCCCAAGGGUGGCCUAGCCACAUCACACAGAAAACUUACCUCGCCUCAAUUCUUCCCUGCAGGUUAGCACAAUUCAAAUCGCUCAAUCACAGAUAGUAAUAGGAACUUAAACAACCAAAACGCAUUCACUUUCAUAUAACCAACAACCAUGGGGGUUUUGAUUAUAAGACUAAAUUGUUAUGACACGUCCCAUUCCAUGCCGCACAAUUCCGUCCCAUAAUCCGACCCAUCAACAACACUCAACAUGCAUUCCAAUUGUCAUUCACGGCCAAACAAGGGCAUAGCUUACUCGCAGUUCAGCUAUCUACUGGCAUAUAACCAGGCAUCGCCUCCCCACCUUGGAGCGCGGCUUCGUCAGUACCUCGACGGCAUUCCCAAAGGAGCAUGGGUCCAGUCGGCCUAGCCACUACUGCGACCCGAGCCACGUCACUCUCCCUUGACGACAUUUCUAGAAGAACAAAGGUCCAGUCGGCCUAGCCACUACUGCGACCCGAGCCACGUCACUCUCCCUUGACGGCAUUUCUAGAAGAAUAAAGGUCCAGUCGGCCUAGCCACUACUGCGACCCGAGCCACAUCACUCUCCCUUGACGGCAUUUCUAGAAGAACAAAGGUCCAGUCGGCCUAGCCACUACUGCGACCCGAGUCUUUCAACCAGCACACAACAAUUCAAUAAUUAAUUGCACAAAUCAUCACUCAAUUUGUAAUAUCUAAUCAUCAAAUUCAUAAUCUGAAUACACAGCAGCGAUCAGCACAAAAUUCUGAGAAUUUAGGGUCCCAACUUAAUUUUCGGAAUUUAUUUAAUAAUUAAAUUUAUUUCGAAAAUUAAUUAAAUAAUAAUAUCCCUAUCUUUCACAAUCCACACUCGAUUUAUAAUAUCCAAUCAUCAAUUUCAAAAUCUGACUACACAGCAGCGCCCGGUACGAAAUUCUGAGAAUUUAGGGUCUUGACAAAAUUUUCGGAAUUUAAUAAAUAAUUAAAUUUAUUCCGAAAAAAAUUAAAUAAUAAUAUUUUAUUAAUUUCGAAUAAAAUAUAUUAUUAAAUUAUAUAAUAAUUUCGAGACAUUUAAAUAAAUCAAAAGUAAAUUCAUUUAAGUCAAAUCAAGGCUUAUUUUAAAUAAACCCACUUACCCUUAAUUAAGCACACUUUAAAUUAAACCACAACCUUAAUCAAAUCUACUCUUAAUUAACCUAAACUAACAACCUAAUAACACUUAACAUAAACUAAACCUCCCUAAGCAUAAUUAACCCUCUAAGCGAGGUUUAGUGAGUUAAACUCACCGGAUUAGCGAGCCGAGCGGACCAAAACGACGGGGACGCCGAGGAGAACAACUUUCCUCAAAGUGGGCCGAGCAUCCGGGCUCGGGAAGGCGGCCAAAAUGGGCCAAACGUCCGCUGCAUACCCAUUUUUUUUCAACUGCUGUCCAUGGCGGUUUGAGGCCGAGGAAGGGUAGAUCCGGCGCCGGUUCGGGUCGGAAAGGGUGGAGGAGCUACGGCGGUGGCUAGCGGCGACGAACGAGCUCCGGCAGCUCUUGCGCGAGCUGAACAGUAGCUCGGGACGACGAGCUGGGCGAAGUGGGCGGAGCGGCGCGCGGCCAGGCGCGGGCGAGCGCGAGGCAAACGCGCGCGACGGCGGCGAUGGGCGAACGACGAGACCUCCGGCUGGCGUGCAGCUUCGGACGGAACUUCUCUGGUUGCUGCUGGGUCUCGAAGCAUUCAAGGGAGAUGGAGAAGAGAGAUCGCAAUGGGAGAGGAAGGGGAAGACGGAGGGCGACGGCCAAGGCGAAACGGCGACGGUGCGUGGCGGCAGUGAACGGCGAAGGCAUGCGGCUUCUCCAGCUUGCUGGUUGCUGGGUUUUCAAAGAAGAAGGAGAUGAAGAAGAUGGAGAUGGAGGAGUCGCAC
This 2227-nucleotide long non-coding RNA is filed under the name Eucalyptus grandis. Its description in RNAcentral is "long non-coding RNA (EGRA_LNC003759)". Lineage: Eukaryota; Viridiplantae; Streptophyta; Magnoliopsida; Myrtales; Myrtaceae. The record is from RNAcentral.